Molecule: ribosomal RNA, 425 nt
Filed under: uncultured bacterium
Lineage: Bacteria
Description: partial 16S ribosomal RNA
Rfam family: Bacterial small subunit ribosomal RNA
Source: RNAcentral
GUGGGGAAUAUUGGACAAUGGGCGCAAGCCUGAUCCAGCCAUGCCGCGUGAGUGAUGAAGGCCUUAGGGUUGUAAAGCUCUUUCAGUGGGGACGAUAAUGACGGUACCCACAGAAGAAGCCCCGGCUAACUUCGUGCCAGCAGCCGCGGUAAUACGAAGGGGGCUAGCGUUGUUCGGAUUUACUGGGCGUAAAGCGCACGUAGGCGGAUCGUUAAGUGGGGGGUGAAAUCCUGGAGCUCAACUCCAGAACUGCCUUCGAUACUGGCGAUCUUGAGUGAGGAAGAGGUGAGUGGAACUCCUAGUGUAGAGGUGGAAGUCGUAGAUAUUAGGAAGAACACCAGUGGCGAAGGCGGCUCACUGGUCCGGUACUGACGCUGAGGUGCGAAAGCGUGGGGAGCAAACAGGAUUAGAAACCCCGGUAGUCC